GAUGAACGCUGGCGGCGUGCCUAAUACAUGCAAGUCGAGCGAACGGACGAGAAGCUUGCUUCUCUGAUGUUAGCGGCGGACGGGUGAGUAACACGUGGAUAACCUACCUAUAAGACUGGGAUAACUUCGGGAAACCGGAGCUAAUACCGGAUAAUAUUUUGAACCGCAUGGUUCAAAAGUGAAAGACGGUCUUGCUGUCACUUAUAGAUGGAUCCGCGCUGCAUUAGCUAGUUGGUAAGGUAACGGCUUACCAAGGCAACGAUGCAUAGCCGACCUGAGAGGGUGAUCGGCCACACUGGAACUGAGACACGGUCCAGACUCCUACGGGAGGCAGCAGUAGGGAAUCUUCCGCAAUGGGCGAAAGCCUGACGGAGCAACGCCGCGUGAGUGAUGAAGGUCUUCGGAUCGUAAAACUCUGUUAUUAGGGAAGAACAUAUGUGUAAGUAACUGUGCACAUCUUGACGGUACCUAAUCAGAAAGCCACGGCUAACUACGUGCCAGCAGCCGCGGUAAUACGUGGGUGGCAAGCGUUAUCCGGAAUUAUUGGGCGUAAAGCGCGCGUAGGCGGUUUUUUAAGUCUGAUGUGAAAGCCCACGGCUCAACCGUGGAGGGUCAUUGGAAACUGGAAAACUUGAGUGCAGAAGAGGAAAGUGGAAUUCCAUGUGUAGCGGUGAAAUGCGCAGAGAUAUGGAGGAACACCAGUGGCGAAGGCGACUUUCUGGUCUGUAACUGACGCUGAUGUGCGAAAGCGUGGGGAUCAAACAGGAUUAGAUACCCUGGUAGUCCACGCCGUAAACGAUGAGUGCUAAGUGUUAGGGGGUUUCCGCCCCUUAGUGCUGCAGCUAACGCAUUAAGCACUCCGCCUGGGGAGUACGACCGCAAGGUUGAAACUCAAAGGAAUUGACGGGGACCCGCACAAGCGGUGGAGCAUGUGGUUUAAUUCGAAGCAACGCGAAGAACCUUACCAAAUCUUGACAUCCUUUGACAACUCUAGAGAUAGAGCUUUCCCCUUCGGGGGACAAAGUGACAGGUGGUGCAUGGUUGUCGUCAGCUCGUGUCGUGAGAUGUUGGGUUAAGUCCCGCAACGAGCGCAACCCUUAAGCUUAGUUGCCAUCAUUAAGUUGGGCACUCUAAGUUGACUGCCGGUGACAAACCGGAGGAAGGUGGGGAUGACGUCAAAUCAUCAUGCCCCUUAUGAUUUGGGCUACACACGUGCUACAAUGGACAAUACAAAGGGCAGCGAAACCGCGAGGUCAAGCAAAUCCCAUAAGGUUGUUCUCAGUUCGGAUUGUAGUCUGCAACUCGACUACAUGAAGCUGGAAUCGCUAGUAAUCGUAGAUCAGCAUGCUACGGUGAAUACGUUCCCGGGUCU
RNAcentral lists this ribosomal RNA (1372 nucleotides) under uncultured bacterium. RNAcentral's name for it is "bacterial SSU rRNA". It matches the Rfam family "Bacterial small subunit ribosomal RNA", at positions 28 to 1381 of the family's 1533-position model. The record is from RNAcentral.